AGUGAACGCUGGCGGCGUGCCUAAUACAUGCAAGUCGAACGGAAUUUAAAAGAGCUUGCUCUUUUAAAUUUAGUGGCGCACGGGUGAGUAAUAUAUAGCUAAUCUGCCCCUUGCUGGAGGACAACAGUUAGAAAUGACUGCUAAUACUCCAUACUCCUUUUUACCAUAAGAUAAAUCGGGAAAGAAUUUCGGCAAGGGAUGAGACUAUAUCGUAUCAGCUAGUCGGUGGGGUAACGGCCUACCGAGGCUAUGACGCGUAACUGGUCUGAGGGGAUGAUCAGUCACAUUGGAACUGAGACACGGUCCAAACUCCUACGGGAGGCAGCAGUAGGGAAUAUUGCGCAAUGGGGGAAACCCUGACGCAGCAACGCCGCGUGGAGGAUGACACUUUUCGGAGCGUAAACUCCUUUUGUUAGGGAAGAAUAAUGACGGACCUAACGAAUAAG
This 446-nucleotide ribosomal RNA is filed under the name Campylobacter gracilis. Its description in RNAcentral is "bacterial SSU rRNA". It matches the Rfam family "Bacterial small subunit ribosomal RNA", at positions 29 to 490 of the family's 1533-position model. Lineage: Bacteria; Pseudomonadati; Campylobacterota; Epsilonproteobacteria; Campylobacterales; Campylobacteraceae. The record is from RNAcentral.